RNAcentral lists this ribosomal RNA (1438 nucleotides) under uncultured organism. Its description in RNAcentral is "SSU rRNA". It matches the Rfam family "Bacterial small subunit ribosomal RNA". The record is from RNAcentral.
GCUUAACACAUGCAAGUCGAGGGGCAUCAGGAAGAAAGCUUGCUUUCUUUGCUGGCGACCGGCGCACGGGUGAGUAACACGUAUCCAACCUGCCCUUUACUCGGGGAUAGCCUUUCGAAAGAAAGAUUAAUACCCGAUGGCAUAAUGAUUCCGCAUGGUUUCAUUAUUAAAGGAUUCCGGUAAAGGAUGGGGAUGCGUUCCAUUAGGUUGUUGGUGAGGUAACGGCCCACCAAGCCUUCGAUGGAUAGGGGUUCUGAGAGGAAGGUCCCCCACAUUGGAACUGAGACACGGUCUAAACUCCUACGGGAGGCAGCAGUGAGGAAUAUUGGUCAAUGGGCGGUAGCCUGAACCAGCCAAGUAGCGUGAAGGAUGAAGGCUCUAUGGGUCGUAAACUUCUUUUAUAUAAGAAUAAAGUGCAGUAUGUAUACUGUUUUGUAUGUAUUAUAUGAAUAAGGAUCGGCUAACUCCGUGCCAGCAGCCGCGGUAAUACGGAGGAUCCGAGCGUUAUCCGGAUUUAUUGGGUUUAAAGGGAGCGUAGGUGGACUGGUAAGUCAGUUGUGAAAGUUUGCGGCUCAACCGUAAAAUUGCAGUUGAUACUGUCAGUCUUGAGUACAGUAGAGGUGGGCGGAAUUCGUGGUGUAGCGGUGAAAUGCUUAGAUAUCACGAAGAACUCCGAUUGCGAAGGCAGCUCACUGGACUGCAACUGACACUGAUGCUCGAAAGUGUGGGUAUCAAACAGGAUUAGAUACCCUGGUAGUCCACACAGUAAACGAUGAAUACUCGCUGUUUGCGAUAUACAGUAAGCGGCCAAGCGAAAGCAUUAAGUAUUCCACCUGGGGAGUACGCCGGCAACGGUGAAACUCAAAGGAAUUGACGGGGGCCCGCACAAGCGGAGGAACAUGUGGUUUAAUUCGAUGAUACGCGAGGAACCUUACCCGGGCUUAAAUUGCAGUGGAAUGAUGUGGAAACAUGUCAGUGAGCAAUCACCGCUGUGAAGGUGCUGCAUGGUUGUCGUCAGCUCGUGCCGUGAGGUGUCGGCUUAAGUGCCAUAACGAGCGCAACCCUUAUCUUCAGUUACUAACAGGUCAUGCUGAGGACUCUGGAGAGACUGCCGUCGUAGGAUGUGAGGAAGGUGGGGAUGACGUCAAAUCAGCACGGCCCUUACGUCCGGGGCUACACACGUGUUACAAUGGGGGGUACAGAAGGCAGCUAGCGGGUGACCGUAUGCUAAUCCCAAAAGCCUCUCUCAGUUCGGAUCGAAGUCUGCAACCCGACUUCGUGAAGCUGGAUUCGCUAGUAAUCGCGCAUCAGCCACGGCGCGGUGAAUACGUUCCCGGGCCUUGUACACACCGCCCGUCAAGCCAUGGGAGCCGGGGGUACCUGAAGUACGUAACCGCAAGGAUCGUCCUAGGGUAAAACUGGUGACUGGGGCUAAGAC